UCCAUGAUGGUCUAGUGGCUAGGAUUCGGCGUUUUCACCGCCGCGGCCCGGGUUCGAUUCCUGGUCAGGGAA
RNAcentral lists this transfer RNA (72 nucleotides) under Hippoglossus stenolepis (Pacific halibut). RNAcentral's name for it is "tRNA-Glu". It matches the Rfam family "tRNA". Rfam says of the family: Transfer RNA (tRNA) molecules are approximately 80 nucleotides in length. Their secondary structure includes four short double-helical elements and three loops (D, anti-codon, and T loops). Further hydrogen bonds mediate the characteristic L-shaped molecular structure. tRNAs have two regions of fundamental functional importance: the anti-codon, which is responsible for specific mRNA codon recognition, and the 3' end, to which the tRNAs corresponding amino acid is attached (by aminoacyl-tRNA synthetases). tRNAs cope with the degeneracy of the genetic code in two manners: having more than one tRNA (with a specific anti-codon) for a particular amino acid; and 'wobble' base-pairing, i.e. permitting non-standard base-pairing at the 3rd anti-codon position. The record is from RNAcentral. Lineage: Eukaryota; Metazoa; Chordata; Actinopteri; Pleuronectiformes; Pleuronectidae.